Molecule: long non-coding RNA, 4394 nt
Organism: Prionailurus viverrinus (fishing cat)
Lineage: Eukaryota; Metazoa; Chordata; Mammalia; Carnivora; Felidae
Exons: 3
Source: RefSeq, a predicted model, not a curated record
GAAGCACUCAGAAAUGCUGGCUCUUACUUAAAAUGUAGUGUCCUGGGCAGGUAAUACAUUUCAGCUUCACAUGCAGCCUAUAGCAAAAGCACAGCUAGGUGUCCUGCGAGUGUUCGAGAUUAGAAAAUGGAGUUGGUGGGAGAAUUAUCUUUCCUUCUAUGGAAGUUUACGUUCCACACUUGAAACUAUGGGCAAAUGGAAUGAUAAACACGAGUGUGUGGGGAAAUGGUGAGAUCUUCCCCUGGGAUGUCAAUGUUUUAGAUUAAAUGAUAACUUCAUAACUAAGAGGGUUACAGUUUUGAAAAUUCUUGGCUAAAAGAGUCAACCCUCUUUCCCCCUAAAUUAUGGUUGUAUUAAAUGAAUCCAGUAUUGGGCAUCCAGUACAUCUUUAAAUGGGUUGAGAAGAAGAUGUUGGGGUAGUAUUUUCUCUGUGGUCAGCUCCCUCUCUUGGGUCCCUGCCUGUUUUGACUUUACAACGCUUCCUGGUAACUUCCUACGAGGAUCAACCCCUUUGCAGUUAGAAAUGGAAAACGGCAUUCUGAGACUCAGAAGAGAAUUUUCUUAGGAACAUAUUAAACAAAGUGGGGUGAGGUCCCCAGUCAAGCUCAUGGGAGAUAUUAGUGCAAAUGAACCUAACCACCAGCUAUAUCUGGGCCCCUCACCAGCCAGGCACGGGGAAAGGGGAUUUCCCUUGCUCCAAGUGGCCCCAGUGGCUUGAGAACCAUGGGGAGAUAGGGAAGCAGGGUAUCCCACAGGGAAAUCCCUGAGGAUACUUUGUAUUACAGACCGGUUCCUUCCCACCUCUCUUCUCGGCUUUCUCUUUCUCCUCUUGAUGCAUACUGUUUCUUCCAGCCAGGGUUUCUCUCCUGCUGUGGGUACUACAGUUACUUAGAUAGAAAGAAAGAGCAGUGACAGGGAGAUGUGUUCCCCCCACUUCUCUCCCCAGCUCUGAGUGUUAAGCUAAAAAAUAUGAGUACAUGAUCAAUGCGGUCAGCUCCAGGCAUAAACUGCUUUGAAAGACCCAAGCCCCCGACAGGAAUGUAGCGUAACUAGUGUUAUCAGAGAAGCGAGAUAUCACCUGAAGGUGAGUGGCCUGUUACAGUAGGAAAUUAGUAAAAAGGAAGGCAGUGGUUAAGAACAGAGGCUCUAAUAUCAGAUAGGCCUGGGUUUGAAUCCGGGCCGUACCACUUACUAAUUGCAUGACUGGGGCAAGUAACUUAAUUUCUCUAAGCCUCAGCUUCUUUAUCAGUAAGAUGGGAGAAAUAGCACUGCCUCCACUGGGAUCCAUGUGGGCAUGGAUAUCAGAAGCUGAGCACAAUGCAGUGUAAUUCGUCCAGUCCAAGCAGAUAGUAGCUAUUUAUUAUAAAAAGUUGAAUCAGAGAGUCAGAAUUUCUUAGCGUCCAUAAAGCACUCUCCACAGGGAUUGAUUCAUAUUCCUUUGGCAGGAGCAGCUUCACAGAUGGAUGCAUCAGACUAUAAAUGUGUGAUGCUGCUCACCAUGAAGAUCGUCCAACUAAUUACCCUCAGUCAGUUCCCCUGUCCGCUAAGCAGCCUUCUCACUGCACCUUCCGUAUAGCUUUCUAAGAAGGAUACAAUGUGCUCACCAGAUCCGGUUGACCUGAACAUCCAGGCUCGUCCAACCAUUAUAGCUCUCCUUAGAAUAAAUCAAGUGGCACUCCAGUUUAUACGUCGAUCUCUUAUGAGUUCAGCUGUACUCAAGAGACUGGUCCAACUCUGACCAAAUGGAAUCUCUAAUCCUUUCAAGCUGAGGGUCGGGUCACACCCUGGGUUGCCCCGAAUUAAUAGUCUUCCAGGGCUCUUGAAGCUGUGAAUUGCUGACCUGCCAUACAGGUAUAGCCAGCCUCGAGACUAGUUUCUUUGAACUACACAGGAUUUUUUAAGUCAUCUGGGCAAGAAUUUACAAAUCCAGAGAUUUCGCCGAAAACGCAAACACGCGUUUCCAGCUUCUCUCGAAAACCCAGCCACAGGGCUAGGGCUGAGGUGGCUGCCUCCUCCAGGGAGGGCCGGUCUCUGCAGCUCAGCACUCCAAUAAUGAAGACAGCUCUACACCCAGUCUGUUUUCACCAGCCCUGUCCCAGCAGACUUACUUUUGUGACUCCUGUUGUAAGUAAGAACACUUUAGACAUUUUCUUAAAGUUUUUACUUCUUGGAAAAGAGAGAAAAAGGAAGAAGAAAGCCUACCCCAUGAACACUCCUUUUGAUAAGUUUGGAAACACACCUGUAUUUUAGAAAACACUCAGAUGAAGAUAGUCCCCUGGGACAUUUCGUUGCACGAGCAGCUGGGACCACAGAGAGUUGCUGUAAGUGAAGCAACAGGCCGACCCUGCACUGCCAGAUGGAACGUGUGCAGCACAUUUCCAACCAGGCUGUUUCCGAGAGAUUCCCCAUCUAGCAAGAUUCACACCAGGCAGUCGGACCCAGACUCACUACGCUCAGAGCUAGCAGGUACUUGGAGUUCAGCGUAGGGUUGGUCUGGAAAUCCAUGCAGGAUCUCAGCACAGAAACUCAGGAAACACGCAAGAAACCCUCAAGAAGUUGGAGAACUCACUACCGCUGGAUUUUUGAUGAAUGAUAUCCGAUGCAAGCAUAGCCUCUGAUGGCUUCUUCCCACCCCAGAGCCGUCGUGGGCUUUUGUGAGAGCCAGAAAGCAGCCGAUGAUAACACUGUCAUCACUUCCUUCAGCUUUUCCAGUACUCCAAACCCAGGCAGAACUAAAAUUCUAGAGGGCAGCCACAUACGGAGGCGAUACACCACCCCUUCCACCCACCACCGCCACCGCCAUAUUGGUGGGAUAUAUUUUAGGAAUCAGGAGGAAGGAACAUGAGAAGUCAUUGUCUUCUUGAGAACUCUAAGCAACCUGAUGAGAAAGCUCUCUCUAACGACAGAGGUGGGGAUGCUGUGCAUGCCAUCACAGUCCUUGGGUAAUGACUGUGUGUCAUAAAUGGGAUAUGGCAUUUCUGAAUGUCUUUAAAGCUAUUUCCUUUUGUUCCACUAAUUUAAUUUACCAAAUGCUCCUGGGAAAAGGGAGGGGGACCAAGAUGCUGACUCCACAUUUCCUGAAAAAUCAACAUUUUCUUUUUAAGCUGCUCUCAAGGAAAUUACGUCUGAUUGUUGUCGGCUGGCUCCCUCAAACUCUACCUCUGUCAGAAUUCUGACCCGGCAGGUGUGAGGAAGAAAUAGAUGCAGAACUUGAGUGAAUACCCACAUCUGUUUUUGGAAAAAAGGAACAGAAGCAGCACAGAAGGAAGUAAAAGAGAUAAUUGCUGGCUUGAACUACAAUACAUUUUACUUGUGGGCAGAGGGCCAGCUUACAGCAGGCUGAAUAUGCAGGCCCAUCUUAUUGGAAUUCAGCGGUGGGCCUCCAUUCUUGUCCGGAGACAGCUGUAAACCAGCAGCCCAUAGCAUCACAAUCAGGCACCGAGUUUUGUCAAGGAAUGCUGAUAUGUACGGAAGCAGCUUUGUCUGCUUCAACUGCACCCCUGCCUAGUGAAAUGACAGUCAAUCUCUGAUUCCAGAUGACAAGAACUGGAUAAAAACUUAAAACAAAUGGCGACCUUUCAAAAGAUUAAUUUGUUUACCAACAAAAUGUCCCCUCUUUGUCAUCUGAGAUGGGGGUGACCUUCACUUUCCCGUAUCUAGGCUGAAAGGAUGCUGACUAUAGUCAUCUGUUAACUCCAUCUCAGCAAUUAUUCCCUUUUUUAUUUUUAGUGACAAGAAGGGUUUAUUAAUUCACUCUGCUUCUUGUUAUGGUUUAUAAAUGCAACAAGCUCAUUCUGAAUUACUGCAGUGUAACAUCAAUUUGUUUAAAUCUAAUUCUGCUACCAUUGCCAAAUUACGUUGUGACUGUAAUUGUGGCCAUAUGCAUGGGCUUAAAACACAAUCAUGUUUUGAAAUCGGCCUUCUUCCCCCCACCUCCCCGAGCACCCCUCCCCCCUACUUCUGGUGCUUCUAAUCAUUUGACAUUAACACAAUUGCCUCGCUUUCCAUUACUUUAUCAUUUCCGAAAUGAAUGUACUUUCACGAGAGAGAUUACUAUGUACACCCCAAGUAAAACAGUAAAGAAUGAAACUAUGAUUUGUGAAGUGUGGUUGCUACCCAACUAAGUUAGUGAACAACACUGCAUAACGGAUGACUCAUAAAAUCGGGAAAUCAUAAUAGUAUUAAAUUCAACCUCAUGAAUAAAUAAAAGAUUCUAAGUUUACUUUGCAUUAUAUAUUUAUUUAUUUGGAAAGUGGGACCAGAACUGGUAUAAUUCUACAGCAACUUAUAUGUUGCCACCAAGAAAAAUGUUUUUAUGCUUCUUUUCUAGGUCAUAACAGUUAUCAUCAGAGUUAUUUGUGCAGCAGUACAAAGCAAUGUUUUGUUUGGCUAUU